Vidua macroura (Pin-tailed whydah) is the source of this 347-nucleotide long non-coding RNA. RefSeq lists it as uncharacterized. The record is from RefSeq and is a predicted model, not a curated record. The transcript is spliced from 2 exons. Lineage: Eukaryota; Metazoa; Chordata; Aves; Passeriformes; Viduidae.
GUUACCCGACAACCGCGGCACCCGAUUGUGAGGCCGGGCCGGGGCCGGGACGCUGCGGCCGGGCGGGGCCGGGGCGGGGGCGCCGGGCGGGCCUCGGUCCCCGCUCCAUCCCGCCUCGGUCCCCGCUCCAUCCCGCCUCGGUGCCGCCUCGGUGCCCCCUCGAGCCGCCCUCGGGACACACAAGUAGCAGAAGUCAUUUCCUGGUGUCAUGGUUUAUCACCUAAUCUGCAGCCAGGAAUUAGUGCUCCAGAAGACUGACGUUAUUACAUCCUGUAUUUUUCUUUGGCAUUCUCUUACACAAUACAGAUGUGCUAAAAGAAAAAAAAAAUACAGUAUUUAUCAACCUC